RNAcentral lists this unclassified non-coding RNA (395 nucleotides) under soil metagenome. RNAcentral describes it as "partial contains 5.8S ribosomal RNA, internal transcribed spacer 2, and large subunit ribosomal RNA". The stretch from base 1 to 120 matches the Rfam family "5.8S ribosomal RNA", at positions 35 to 154 of the family's 154-position model. The record is from RNAcentral.
GAUGAAGAACGCAGCGAAAUGCGAUAAGUAAUGUGAAUUGCAGAAUUCAGUGAAUCAUCGAAUCUUUGAACGCACCUUGCGCCUUUUGGUAUUCCGAAAGGCACACCUGUUUGAGCGUCAUGAAUACCUCAAUCUCAAUCUUUUCUUCGGAUUGAUGGGUGACUUGGAUGUUGAGCCCUGCUGGUAUGCUAUAUCAGCUGGCUUUAAACUUAUUAGCCGGCUCUGUACUGGAUCGGUUUGACUCGACGUGAUAAUAUUAUCGUUGAGGAUGCAUGUCUCAUGCAGCCGGAAAGUAUCAAAGCAGCUUCUAGCUUGCCUUUAGUGCACUUUUACAUUUUAGACCUCAGAUCAGGUGGGACUACCCGCUGAACUUAAGCAUAUCAAUAAGCGGAGGA